GUCUAUGGCCAUACCACCCUGAACGCACCCGAUCUCGUCUGAUCUCGGAAGCUAAGCAGGGUCGGGCCUGGUUAGUACUUGGAUGGCAGAUAUUGUAACACCCAGUAGGAAAAAAAAAAAGGCACCCUGCAUC
This 133-nucleotide ribosomal RNA is filed under the name Oryctolagus cuniculus (rabbit). Lineage: Eukaryota; Metazoa; Chordata; Mammalia; Lagomorpha; Leporidae. The record is from RNAcentral.